Molecule: transfer RNA, 70 nt
Filed under: Dipodomys ordii (Ord's kangaroo rat)
Lineage: Eukaryota; Metazoa; Chordata; Mammalia; Rodentia; Heteromyidae
Rfam family: tRNA
About the family: Transfer RNA (tRNA) molecules are approximately 80 nucleotides in length. Their secondary structure includes four short double-helical elements and three loops (D, anti-codon, and T loops). Further hydrogen bonds mediate the characteristic L-shaped molecular structure. tRNAs have two regions of fundamental functional importance: the anti-codon, which is responsible for specific mRNA codon recognition, and the 3' end, to which the tRNAs corresponding amino acid is attached (by aminoacyl-tRNA synthetases). tRNAs cope with the degeneracy of the genetic code in two manners: having more than one tRNA (with a specific anti-codon) for a particular amino acid; and 'wobble' base-pairing, i.e. permitting non-standard base-pairing at the 3rd anti-codon position.
Source: Rfam by way of RNAcentral
GGGAAAGUGGCUCAGUGGUAGAGCACUUGCCUUGCAUGCAUGAGGUCCUGGGUUCAAUUCCUCAGCACCA